RNAcentral lists this unclassified non-coding RNA (137 nucleotides) under soil metagenome. Its description in RNAcentral is "partial internal transcribed spacer 1". The record is from RNAcentral.
CUGAGUACUACACUCUCUACCCUUUGUGAACUAUUAUACCUGUUGCUUCGGCGGCGCCCGCGAGGGUGCCCGCCGGUCUCAUCAGAAUCUCUGUUUUCGAACCCGACGAUACUUCUGAGUGUUCUUAGCGAGCUGUC